CAGCAGCCGCGGGAAUACGAAGGGGGCUAGCGUUGCUCGGAAUCACUGGGCGUAAAGGGUGCGUAGGCGGGUCUUUAAGUCAGGGGUGAAAUCCUGGAGCUCAACUCCAGAACUGCCUUUGAUACUGAAGAUCUUGAGUUCGGGAGAGGUGAGUGGAACUGCGAGUGUAGAGGUGAAAUUCGUAGAUGUUCGCAAGAACACCAGUGGCGAAGGCGGCUCACCGGCCCGAUACUGACGCUGAGACGAAAGCUAGGGGAGCAAAUGGGAUUAGAUACCCGCGUAGUCCCUGUCUCUUAUACAC
RNAcentral lists this ribosomal RNA (301 nucleotides) under uncultured bacterium. Its description in RNAcentral is "partial 16S ribosomal RNA". It matches the Rfam family "Bacterial small subunit ribosomal RNA", at positions 509 to 809 of the family's 1533-position model. The record is from RNAcentral.